GUAAAGCACUUUCAGUAGGGAGGAAGGUAGUGUAGUUAACACCUGCAUUAUUUGACGUUACCUACAGAAGAAGCACCGGCUAACUCCGUGCCAGCAGCCGCGGUAAUACGGAGGGUGCGAGCGUUAAUCGGAAUUACUGGGCGUAAAGCGCAUGCAGGCGGCCUGUUAAGUCAGAUGUGAAAGCCCGGGGCGUUAACCUCGGAAUUGCAUUUGAAACUAGGCAGGCUAGAGUCUUGUAGAGGGGGGUAGGAAUUUCAGGUGUAGCGGUGAAAUAGCGUAGAGAUCUGAAGGAAUACCAGUGGCGAAGGCGGCCCCCUCGGACAAAGACUGACGCUCAGAUGCGAAAGCGUGGGGAGCAAACAGGAUUAGAUACCCUGGUAG
Molecule: ribosomal RNA, 381 nt
Filed under: uncultured bacterium
Lineage: Bacteria
Description: bacterial SSU rRNA
Rfam family: Bacterial small subunit ribosomal RNA
Source: RNAcentral